UGGGGAAUAUUGCACAAUGGGCGAAAGCCUGAUGCAGCAACGCCGCGUGAGUGAUGACGGUCUUCGGAUUGUAAAGCUCUGUCUUUGGGGACGAUAAUGACGGUACCCAAGGAGGAAGCCACGGCUAACUACGUGCCAGCAGCCGCGGUAAUACGUAGGUGGCAAGCGUUGUCCGGCUUUACUGGGUGUAAAGGGUGCGUAGGCGGACCUUUAAGUGAGAUGUGAAAUCCCCGAGCUUAACUUGGGGGCUGCAUUUCAAACUGGAGGUCUAGAGUGCAGGAGAGGAGAGUGGAAUUCAUAGUGUAGCGGUGAAAUGCGUAGAGAUUAGGAAGAACACCAGUGGCGAAGGCGACUCUCUGGACUGUAACUGACGCUGAGGCACGAAAGCGUGGGGAGCAAACGG
This 403-nucleotide ribosomal RNA is filed under the name uncultured bacterium. Its description in RNAcentral is "bacterial SSU rRNA". It matches the Rfam family "Bacterial small subunit ribosomal RNA", at positions 355 to 775 of the family's 1533-position model. The record is from RNAcentral.